UACGUAGGUCCCGAGCGUUGUCCGGAUUUAUUGGGCGUAAAGCGAGCGCAGGCGGUUAGAUAAGUCUGAAGUUAAAGGCUGUGGCUUAACCAUAGGACGCUUUGGAAACUGUUUAACUUGAGUGCAAGAGGGGAGAGUGGAAUUCCAUGUGUAGCGGUGAAAUGCGUAGAUAUAUGGAGGAACACCGGUGGCGAAAGCGGCUCUCUGGCUUGUAACUGACGCUGAGGCUCGAAAGCGUGGGGAGCAAACAGG
Molecule: ribosomal RNA, 252 nt
Filed under: uncultured bacterium
Lineage: Bacteria
Description: partial 16S ribosomal RNA
Rfam family: Bacterial small subunit ribosomal RNA
Source: RNAcentral